CGCGCCUGUUUUUACAAAAACAUCGCCUCUUGAUAAAGUAAAAUUAUAGGAGGUCCAGCCUGCCCGGUGAGUCAAUUUAACGGCCGCGGUAUCCUGACCGUGCGAAGGUAGCAUAAUCACUUGUUCUUUAAAUAAGGACUAGAAUCAACGGCAUCACGAGGGUCUUACUGUCUCCCCUCCCCAAUCAGUGAAACUGAUCUCUCCGUGAAGAAGCGGGGAUGAACAUAUAAGACGAGAAGACCCCAUGGAGCUUCAAGCUCAACAUAUACUCUUUUUAACCAACCUCAUAAUCUUAAGAACCUACUUGUUAGCUUUGGGUUGGGGUGACCGCGGAGAAAAAACUAACCUCCACAAUGAAAAGAAUAAAAUCCUAAUCUAAGAGCCACACCUCUAAGAAUCAACAAAUUGACAUAAAAUGACCCGACAUUUCGAUCAAUGGACCAAGUUACCCUGGGGAUAACAGCGCCAUCCACUUCAAGAGCCCCUAUCGACGAGUGGGUUUACGACCUCGAUGUUGGAUCAGGGUGUCCCAGUGGUGCAGCCGCUACUAAAGGUUCGUUUGUUCAACGAUUAAAACCCUACGUGAUCUGAUUUCAA
This 597-nucleotide ribosomal RNA is filed under the name Ptychadena mascareniensis (Masarene ridged frog). RNAcentral describes it as "partial large subunit ribosomal RNA". It matches the Rfam family "Bacterial large subunit ribosomal RNA", at positions 1795 to 2614 of the family's 2925-position model. The record is from RNAcentral. Lineage: Eukaryota; Metazoa; Chordata; Amphibia; Anura; Ptychadenidae.